This 274-nucleotide ribosomal RNA is filed under the name uncultured bacterium. Its description in RNAcentral is "partial 16S ribosomal RNA". It matches the Rfam family "Bacterial small subunit ribosomal RNA", at positions 523 to 796 of the family's 1533-position model. The record is from RNAcentral.
AUACAGAGGGUGCAAGCGUUAAUCGGAAUUACUGGGCGUAAAGCGCACGUAGGCGGAAUGUUAAGUUAGAGGUGAAAUCCCAGGGCUCAACCCUGGAACUGCCUUUAAUACUGGCAAUCUAGAGACCGAGAGAGGUGAGUGGAAUCCCGAGUGUAGAGGUGAAAUUCGUAGAUAUUCGGAGGAACACCAGUGGCGAAGGCGGCUCACUGGCUCGGUACUGACGCUGAGGUGCGAAAGCGUGGGGAGCAAACAGGAUUAGAUACCCGGGUAGUCC